UGGUGCCUUCGGGAACUCUGACACAGGUGCUGCAUGGCUGUCGUCAGCUACGUGUCGUGAGAUGUUGGGUUAAGUCCCGUAACGAGCCGCAACCCUUGUCCUUAGUUACCAGCACGUUAUGGUGGGCACUCUAAGGAGACUGCCGGUGACAAACCGGAGGAAGGUGGGGAUGACGUCAAGUCAUCAUGGCCCUUACGGCCUGGGCUACACACGUGCUACAAUGGUCGGUACAAAGGGUUGCCAAGCCGCGAGGUGGAGCUAAUCCCAUAAAACCGAUCGUAGUCCGGAUCGCAGUCUGCAACUCGACUGCGUGAAGUCGGAAUCGCUAGUAAUCGUGAAUCAGAAUGUCACGGUGAAUACGUUCCCGGGCCUU
Molecule: ribosomal RNA, 373 nt
Filed under: uncultured Pseudomonas sp.
Lineage: Bacteria; Pseudomonadati; Pseudomonadota; Gammaproteobacteria; Pseudomonadales; Pseudomonadaceae
Description: bacterial SSU rRNA
Rfam family: Bacterial small subunit ribosomal RNA
Source: RNAcentral